UUCGCAAUGCCCGAAAGGGUGACGAAGCGACGCCGCGUGCGGGAAGAAGGCCUUCGGGUUGUAAACCGCUGUCGGGAGUUAAGAAAUGUAAGGAUGUUAAUAGCAUCUUUGCUUGACUAAGGCUCCGGAGGAAGCCACGGCUAACUCUGUGCCAGCAGCCGCGGUAAUACAGAGGCGGCAAGCGUUGUUCGGAAUUAUUGGGCGUAAAGAGCACGUAGGCGGCUAUGUAAGUCGGUUGUGAAAGCCUUCCGCUCAACGGGAGAACAGCAUCCGAUACUGCAUGGCUUGAGUGCGGGAGGGGAGAGUGGAACUUCUGGUGGAGCGGUGAAAUGCGUAGAUAUCAGAAGGAACGCCGGCGGCGAAAGCGGCUCUCUGGCCCAUAACUGACGCUGAGUGUGCGAAAGCUAGGGGAGCGAACGGGAUUAGAUACCCCGGUAGUCCUAGCUGUAAACGAUGGGCACUAAGUAGAGGGGUUUU
This 477-nucleotide ribosomal RNA is filed under the name uncultured Planctomycetales bacterium. RNAcentral's name for it is "bacterial SSU rRNA". It matches the Rfam family "Bacterial small subunit ribosomal RNA", at positions 365 to 832 of the family's 1533-position model. The record is from RNAcentral. Lineage: Bacteria; Pseudomonadati; Planctomycetota; Planctomycetia; Planctomycetales.